This 74-nucleotide transfer RNA is filed under the name Flammulina velutipes KACC42780. Its description in RNAcentral is "tRNA-Lys (CTT) (tRNA-Lys-CTT-4-1)". It matches the Rfam family "tRNA". Rfam says of the family: Transfer RNA (tRNA) molecules are approximately 80 nucleotides in length. Their secondary structure includes four short double-helical elements and three loops (D, anti-codon, and T loops). Lineage: Eukaryota; Fungi; Basidiomycota; Agaricomycetes; Agaricales; Physalacriaceae. The record is from RNAcentral.
GCCCGUCUAGCUCAAUCGGAUAGAGCGUCAGACUCUUAAUCUGAAGGUUGUGAGUUCGGCCCUCACGGUGGGUU